UGUCAGCCGCCGCGGUAAUACGUAGGUGGCAAGCGUUGUCCGGAAUUAUUGGGCGUAAAGGGCUCGCAGGCGGUUCCUUAAGUCUGAUGUGAAAGCCCCCGGCUCAACCGGGGAGGGUCAUUGGAAACUGGGGAACUUGAGUGCAGAAGAGGAGAGUGGAAUUCCACGUGUAGCGGUGAAAUGCGUAGAGAUGUGGAGGAACACCAGUGGCGAAGGCGACUCUCUGGUCUGUAACUGACGCUGAGGAGCGAAAGCGUGGGGAGCGAACAGGAUUAGAAACCCCAGUAGUCC
RNAcentral lists this ribosomal RNA (291 nucleotides) under uncultured prokaryote. Its description in RNAcentral is "partial 16S ribosomal RNA". It matches the Rfam family "Bacterial small subunit ribosomal RNA", at positions 506 to 796 of the family's 1533-position model. The record is from RNAcentral.